Molecule: transfer RNA, 159 nt
Filed under: Aspergillus sydowii CBS 593.65
Lineage: Eukaryota; Fungi; Ascomycota; Eurotiomycetes; Eurotiales; Aspergillaceae
Description: tRNA-His
Rfam family: tRNA
About the family: Transfer RNA (tRNA) molecules are approximately 80 nucleotides in length.
Source: RNAcentral
GGCAGUAUGGCCGAGUGGUUAAGGCGGUAGACUGUGCGUUAACCAAUCACAACCCGCAAAACAUAAAACCUUCUUAGCUAACUGUCUUCACUAGUGAAUCCUAAAUCAGGAAGUUAUCUACUCCCUUCGGGGACCUGCGUUCGAACCGCAGUGCUGUCG